GUUUUCUUUUUACGGUCAAGUCUUCUUUCAAUACAUUUAAAUUAAGAGUUAAAUAAAGAAGAUGGAUCAUAUAAAAGUUGUGAUAUUAGGUGUGAUACAAUUGGUAGUUUUAUAUUUUUGUUUCGACAAAGGUGAAAUACAGACUAUUCAUCUUCCGCUACAUUAUUAGUACCUGUGAUGCCACAAAAUAAUCAAGAAUACAGAGAAUAAUUUAUAGAUGAGAACAAAUUGAUGGAUCAGCGUCGAAGAAAUAAAGAAAACGAAGAAAAGAAAUUCGUACGUGACAGAGAGUCGUCAAAAAUAUCUAAUCGUGGAUUGUUCCCGUCACAUUGUAGGUACAUAAAAAUAUCUUAUCAGAAUGUAAUAAAAAUAAAUGGAUAAAUAACCA
Molecule: long non-coding RNA, 388 nt
Organism: Ostrinia furnacalis (Asian corn borer)
Lineage: Eukaryota; Metazoa; Arthropoda; Insecta; Lepidoptera; Crambidae
Exons: 2
Source: RefSeq, a predicted model, not a curated record